AGGGAACCGCCUGAACUGAAACAUCUAAGUAGGGCGAGGAAGAGACAUCAAACGAGAUUCCGUAAGUAGUGGCGAGCGAACGCGGAAGAGGGCAAACCGGGAGUAGAAAUACUCCCGGGGUACGGACUGCUUUUAGGACUUAAUCUGUUAACCGAACGGCAUGGGAAGGCCGGUCAGAGAGUGUGAGAACCACGUAGGUGAAAACGACAAGAGCUGAGCAAGUUCCAGAGUACGGCCAGACACGUGAAACCUGGUCGGAAGAUGGGGGGACCACCCUCCAACCCUAAAUACUACCCAGUGACCGAUAGCGUAUAGUACUGUGAAGGAAAGGUGAAAAGCACCCCGGGAGGGGAGUGAAAAAGAACCUGAAACCCUGUGCCUACAAGCACCUAGAGCACGUCAAAGUGUGAUAGGGUACUUUUUGUAGAACGGUCCGGCGAGCGAUUGUAUGCAGCAAGGUUAAGGACUUAAGGUCUGGAGCCGAAGCGAAAGCGAGUUUGAAAAGGGCGUUAAGUUGCAUAUAAUGGGCCCGAAACCGGGUGACCUACCCAUGGUCAGGUUGAAGUGGAAGUAAAAUUCCAUGGAGGACCGAACCGACCUCCGUUGAAAAGGCGGCGGAUGAACUGUGGGUAGCGGAGAAAUUCCAAUCGAACCCGGAGAUAGCUGGUUCUCCCCGAAAUAGUUUUAGGACUAGCCUCAAGUUAGAUACCUGGAGGUAAAGCACUGAAUAGCCUAGCGGCCGAGAGGUUAGCGAAGCUUAUCAAACUCAGAAUGCCAGAGUAUUGAUGCUUGGGAGUCAGACAGUGUCAGAUAAAUGUCAUUGUCAAAAGGGAAACAGCCCAGAUCUACAGCUAAGGUCCCAAAGUCAGGUUAAGUGGAAAACGAUGUGAAGAUACGCAGACAACCAGGAUGUUGGCUCAGAAGCAGCCACUCAUUCAAAGAGUGCGUAAUAGCUCACUGGUCGAGCGUCUUUGCGCGGAGAAUUUAACGGGGCUAAACCUGACACCGAAGCUUAGGCAAUCCAGCAAUGGAUUGGGUAGGGGAGCGUUGUAUACGCGGUGAAACAGUAGCGCAAGCGGCUGUGGAGUGUAUAGAAGUGAGAAUGCCGGAAUGAGUAGCGCGAAUGCAGUGAGAAUCUGCAUGGCCGAAAGCCUCAGGUUUUUGGAGGAAGGUUCGUCCGCUCCAAGUUAGUCGGGAGCUAAGGUGAGGCCGAAAGGCGUAGCCGAUGCACAGACGGUAGAGAUUCCGUCACCACCAAAAGAGUUAAGCACAGGGACACAUAAGAAGUCUCAGAGCCGGGUGUUGGUUCCGGUAGAGAUCGAGGGAAGUUAGUACCGAAGUCUGGGAUGGAAGAUGGCGAGAAAAGCUGUGUGUAUUUCUGAGGUGCCCGUACCGCAAACCGACACAGGUAGGUAGGAAGAAGAUUCUAAGGCCAACGGGAGAAGGGUUGUUAAGGAACUCGGCAAGUUGACCCCGUAACUUCGGAAUAAGGGGUGCUCAUGAAAGUGAGCCGCAGAGAAUAGGCCCAGGCAACUGUUUACCAAAAACACAGGUUUGUGCUAAAUCGAAAGAUGACGUAUACGAGCUGACGCCUGCCCGGUGCUGGAAGGUUAAGAGGAGAUGUGCAAGCAUUGAAUCGAAGCCCCAGUGAACGGCGGCCGUAACUAUAACGGUCCUAAGGUAGCGAAAUUCCUUGUCAGGUAAGUUCUGACCCGCAUGAAAGGCGUAAUGAUUUGGGCACUGUCUCAACAGCCCGCCCGGCGAAAUUGUAGUACCGGUGAAGAUGCCGGUUUCCCGCGACAAGACGGAAAGACCCCAUGGAGCUUUACUGUAGCCUAAUAUUGGGUUUCGAUGUUGCAUGCACAGGAUAGAUGGGACACUGGGAAACAAUCGCUUUGGCGGUUGCGGAGUGGCCGUUGGGAUACCAUCCUUGCGAUAUUGGAAUUCUAACCUGCGGCUCUGAAUCGAGUCGGGGGACAUUGUUAGGUGGGCAGUUUGACUGGGGCGGUCGCCUCCUAAA
RNAcentral lists this ribosomal RNA (2020 nucleotides) under human gut metagenome. Its description in RNAcentral is "bacterial LSU rRNA". It matches the Rfam family "Bacterial large subunit ribosomal RNA", at positions 178 to 2294 of the family's 2925-position model. The record is from RNAcentral.